GUACACAUAGGUCUCCAGCUAAUCCCGGGCUGUGUGUCAGCUGUACACGUGGGUGUGUUUACAGCUUGUGCCAGUCAGGCCCCCGGGUUCACGUGUUGCUCCGCGGCCCCGCCCGGCUGUGUGUGUCAGAUCGACGCAGCCAGACGCAGACUCAGCCGCAACCCCCGAGUCUCCACAACCCGCCCCGGCAGCCGCCUCGCCCGGAGCCGACCAUGGGCAAAAUUCUCCUCCUGUGCCUGGCCGCUCUGACCUGCGCCAGGCUGGCUGGCCACAAGACGAUUGUGCGGAAGAACUGUGUGGCCGAGGUGAAAUGCAGCACCCAGGACACGGCCACCUGGGCCGGCGUCACCUACACCACCUCCUACACCUGCUGUGAGGGCGAUUUCUGCAAUUAGGCCAGGGCCCCGGAGCACCCCUGGGGCCGGCGCCUCUGACUGCCCCCCAUUUCAGGGCUCGGAUUUGUCUUGCGUGCCCCCAAGUUUCACCUCCCUUAAAAACGACUCGCUGACGUCAAAAUACGGAAGUGUCCCAGCUCGCUAUGACUGAACAGUGGCUGACUUUCUCAGUUUGAUGCUAUAAUUAGAAAAUAAAUCAAUUGGAAUAGAAA
This is a non-coding RNA of Chrysemys picta bellii (western painted turtle), 607 nucleotides long. NCBI's taxonomy places the organism in Eukaryota, Metazoa, Chordata, Testudines, Emydidae. The record is from RefSeq and is a predicted model, not a curated record.